UACGGGGGGGGCAAGCGUUGUUCGGAAUUACUGGGCGUAAAGGGUUCGUAGGUGGCUCGCUAAGUCAGACGUGAAAUCCCUCAGCUUAACUGGGGAACUGCGUCUGAGACUGGCAAGCUCGAGUGCAGGAGAGGAACGCGGAAUUCCAGGUGUAGCGGUGAAAUGCGUAGAUAUCUGGAGGAACACCGGUGGCGAAGGCGGCGUUCUGGACUGCAACUGACACUGAUGAACGAAAGCCAGGGGAGCAAACGGG
Molecule: ribosomal RNA, 253 nt
Filed under: uncultured bacterium
Lineage: Bacteria
Description: partial 16S ribosomal RNA
Rfam family: Bacterial small subunit ribosomal RNA
Source: RNAcentral